This is a non-coding RNA of Neurospora sp. IMI 360204, 113 nucleotides long. NCBI's taxonomy places the organism in Eukaryota, Fungi, Ascomycota, Sordariomycetes, Sordariales, Sordariaceae. The record is from the annotation of a GenBank genome assembly.
GGGCGUGUGGCUCAGUUGGUAGAGCGUUCGCUUAGCAUACUUAAAGCAUUCUUAUCUCCAGAUUGUGCAACUUUGUAUGCGAAAGGUCCUGGGUUCGAUUCCCAGCUCGUCCA